GACGAACGCUGGCGGCGUGCUUAACACAUGCAAGUCGAACGGAAAGGCCCUGCUUUUGUGGGGUGCUCGAGUGGCGAACGGGUGAGUAACACGUGAGUAACCUGCCCUUGACUUUGGGAUAACUUCAGGAAACUGGGGCUAAUACCGGAUAGGAGCUCCUGCUGCAUGGUGGGGGUUGGAAAGUUUCGGCGGUUGGGGAUGGACUCGCGGCUUAUCAGCUUGUUGGUGGGGUAGUGGCUUACCAAGGCUUUGACGGGUAGCCGGCCUGAGAGGGUGACCGGCCACAUUGGGACUGCGAUACGGACCAGACUCCUACGGGAGGCAGCAGUGGGGAGUAUUGCACAAUGGGCGGAAGCCUGAUGCAGCAACGCCGCGUGCGGGAUGACGGCCUUCGGGUUGUAAACCGCUUUCGCCUGUGACGAAGCGUGAGUGGCGGUAAUGGGUAAAGAAGCACCGGCUAACUACGUG
RNAcentral lists this ribosomal RNA (468 nucleotides) under uncultured bacterium. Its description in RNAcentral is "partial 16S ribosomal RNA". It matches the Rfam family "Bacterial small subunit ribosomal RNA", at positions 28 to 507 of the family's 1533-position model. The record is from RNAcentral.